AACGAGGCCGACCUGCGGCUGAGUUACCUGCGGAGGGAUCAUUACUGAGGAGGGUCCAUGGCCCGAUCUCCAACCCUUUGAUAAAAACACCAUGUUGCUUUGGCAGGCCCGCCCGUUGGGGCCGCGGGGGAUCGCCGGUCCCUAGCCCGUGCCUGCCGGUAGCCUUCACAAAACUCUCAAAAUGUUGUCGUCUGAGAUGAUUAGAAUAAUAAAACUUUCAACAACGGAUCUCAGAUCGGA
This 240-nucleotide unclassified non-coding RNA is filed under the name soil metagenome. RNAcentral describes it as "partial contains 5.8S ribosomal RNA, internal transcribed spacer 2, and large subunit ribosomal RNA". The record is from RNAcentral.